This 800-nucleotide ribosomal RNA is filed under the name uncultured bacterium. RNAcentral's name for it is "bacterial SSU rRNA". It matches the Rfam family "Bacterial small subunit ribosomal RNA", at positions 8 to 788 of the family's 1533-position model. The record is from RNAcentral.
AGAGUUUGAUCAUGGCUCAGAGCGAACGUUAGCGGCGCGCCCAACACAUGCAAGUCGCACGAGAAAGGGGGCAACCCCCGGUACAGUGGCGCACGGGUGAGUAACACGUAGAUGACCUUCCCUGGAGUGGUGGAUAACCUGCCGAAAGGCGGGCUAAUACAGCAUGGGACCACAUGGUUUUGACCGAGUGGUGAAAGCGGGCCUCUGUUCACAAGCUCGCGCUCUGGGAUGGGUCUGCGGCCCAUCAGCUAGUUGGUGAGGUAACGGCUCACCAAGGCAACGACGGGUAGCUGGUCUGAGAGGAUGACCAGCCACACUGGAACUGAGACACGGUCCAGACUCCUACGGGAGGCAGCAGUGGGGAAUCUUGCGCAAUGGGCGAAAGCCUGACGCAGCGACGCCGCGUGGGUGAUGAAGGCCCUCGGGUUGUAAAGCCCUGUGGGGAGGAACGAACCGUUCGGGGGUGAAUAUCCUCCGAGCCUGACGGUACCUCCUUAGCAAGCAUCGGCUAACUCUGUGCCAGCAGCCGCGGUAAGACAGAGGAUGCGAACGUUGCUCGGAAUUACUGGGCGUAAAGCGCGCGCAGGUUGCCUUGUAAGUCGUGUGUGAAAUCCCUCUGCUCAACGGAGGAAGUGCACGGGAUACUGCAAGGCUGGAGUACAGAAGAGGACAGCGGAAUUCCCGGUGUAGAGGUGAAAUUCGUAGAUAUCGGGAGGAACACCAGUGGCGAAGGCGGCUGUCUGGGCUGAUACUGACACUGAGGCGCGAAAGCGUGGGAAGCAAACAGGAUUAGAUACCCU